RNAcentral lists this ribosomal RNA (115 nucleotides) under Nasibacterium caprae. The record is from RNAcentral. RNAcentral also lists the same sequence under 1 other name. Lineage: Bacteria; Pseudomonadati; Pseudomonadota; Gammaproteobacteria; Moraxellales; Moraxellaceae.
GUUGGCGACCAUAGCAAGUGUGAACCACCUGAUCCCUUCCCGAACUCAGAAGUGAAACCACUUAGCGCUGAUGGUAGUGUGGUGUUAACCAUGUGAGAGUAAGUCAUCGCCAACU